This 500-nucleotide ribosomal RNA is filed under the name uncultured Myrionecta. RNAcentral's name for it is "bacterial SSU rRNA". It matches the Rfam family "Eukaryotic small subunit ribosomal RNA", at positions 1211 to 1795 of the family's 1831-position model. Lineage: Eukaryota; Ciliophora; Litostomatea; Cyclotrichida; Mesodiniidae. The record is from RNAcentral.
AAACUUACCAGGUCAAGACAUGGGCGUGAUUGACAGGCUAAUGACUUUUCUCGAUUCCAUGGAUGGUGGUGCAUGGUCGCACUUAGUUGGUGCAGUGAUUUGUCAGGUUUAUUCCGGUAACGAACGAGACCUCGGCCUUGUAAAUAGCUAUGCUGCUUACAGGGACAUUGGCGGCUACGCCAAGGAAGCUCGAGGCAAUUGCAGAUCUGGAAUGCCCUUAGAUGUCCUGGGUCGCACGCGUGCUACAAUGACGCCACGAACGAGCUUGCGUGAUGAAAGUUACGCAUAAUCAGCAGUCGGCGUCUUAAGGGAUAGUCUCUUGUAACUGUGGGACUCCAACUAGGAAUGUCUCGUAAGCACAAGUCAACAUCUUGUGUUGAUUACGUCCCUGCUCUUUGUACACACCGCCCGUCGCUCCUACCGAUCGAGUGUUUAGGUGAAUUUGAUGGACGUAAGGAAGUCAAAUAAACCUGAGCACUAGAGAAGAGAAGUCGUACAUC